This 453-nucleotide long non-coding RNA is filed under the name Nicotiana tabacum (common tobacco). RNAcentral's name for it is "long non-coding RNA (NTAB_LNC009736)". Lineage: Eukaryota; Viridiplantae; Streptophyta; Magnoliopsida; Solanales; Solanaceae. The record is from RNAcentral.
AAAACAAGAGAACUCAAAAAUAGAUCGUGUAGUAUUCUCGAGCUUUAUCCCCAGCCAGUCAGCAUUAGGGUUUUAAACCCUAAACUGAACUUUUUUCAUUCAGCCAGCAUUAGGGUUUUAAACCCUAAACUGAGUUUUUUCAUGCAAUCAACAUUAGGGAUUUAAACCCUAAACUGAAUUUUCCUUUUAGUCAACAUUAGGGUUUUAAACCCUAAACUGAACUUUUUCCUUUCAGCCAGCAUUAGGGUUUUUAAACCCUAAACCGAGCUUUUUCCAUGCAAUCAGCAUUAGGGUUUUAAACCCUAAAUUGAAUUUUCCUUUUAGUCAGCAUUAGGGUUUUAAACCCUAAACUGAACUUUUUCCUUUUUCAGCCAGCAUUAGGGUUUUAAACCCUAAACUGAGCUUUUCCAUGCAAUCAGCAUUAGGGUUUUAAACCCUACCCUGAAUUUUCCU